Suricata suricatta (meerkat) is the source of this 508-nucleotide long non-coding RNA. RefSeq lists it as uncharacterized. The transcript is spliced from 5 exons. Lineage: Eukaryota; Metazoa; Chordata; Mammalia; Carnivora; Herpestidae. The record is from RefSeq and is a predicted model, not a curated record.
UCUAAAGGAAACACAUUAUGCCAGAGGAUCCUCUCUUGCUUGACCUCUCAAAUGCAUGAUUUUCCAAAGAGUAAUUUGUGUUGGAGGAACUAAAGGAAGGAAGGCCACUGAGGCAACUGAGUAAGGAGAGGGGAAAUCUUAAAUCAUGAAGAGUGAAAAUGAAGAAAAAAAACAGGAGGUCAUCUGACUGUGGUGAUUGUCCUUUCCGCCGUGAUCACUGUGGGAAGCUGGAUUCAAAGGCAGGACUUCACGCUCUUCUUUUUGGGGGUAGGGAGGAGGCAAGGUGACACGAAUGCGGAGCGGAGCGGGCUGUAAAAGGACGGAAAGAACGCCGCCGCCUUCCUCGAAUCCUCAGAACUAACUGCUGAACAAAAACACCGGGAGCCAGCACCCUCACACAACGAUGUCCAACAAGAUGAGUCAUGAGCCUCGGUGCCAAUGGAUUUAAAUAUCAAUGUUUGUACAUUCAGAACCAUAGAAUGCCAGACUUGAAAGGAAAUUCACAUCA